RNAcentral lists this ribosomal RNA (423 nucleotides) under uncultured bacterium. RNAcentral's name for it is "bacterial SSU rRNA". It matches the Rfam family "Bacterial small subunit ribosomal RNA", at positions 361 to 776 of the family's 1533-position model. The record is from RNAcentral.
AUAUUGCGCAAUGGGCGAAAGCCUGACGCAGCGACGCCGCGUGAGGGAUGAAGGUUUUCAGAUCGUACACCUAUGUCAGAAGGGAAGAAGUUGCAUGGGGCCAAUCAUCUGUGCAUUGACGGUACCUUCAAAGGAAGCACCGGCUAACUCCGUGCCAACAGCCGCGGUAAUACGGAGGGUGCGAGCGUUAAUCGGAAUUACUGGGCGUAAAGCGCACGUAGGCUGUAUGUCAAGUCAAGGGUGAAAUCCCACGGCUCAACCGUGGAACUGCCUUUGAAACUGGCAAACUGGAGUAUGUGAGAGGGCGGCGGAAUUCCUGGUGUAGGAGUGAAAUCCGUAGAUAUCAGGAGGAACAUCAGUGGCGAAGGCGGCCGCCUGGCACAAAACUGACGCUGAGGUGCGAAAGCGUGGGUAGCAAACAGG